AACUAGAGUCUUGUAGAGGGGGGUAGAAUUUCAGGUGUAGCGGUGAAAUGCGUAGAGAUCUGAAGGAAUACCGGUGGCGAAGGCGGCCCCCUGGACAAAGACUGACGCUCAGAUGCGAAAGCGUGGGGAGCAAACAGGAUUAGAUACCCUGGUAGUCCACGCCGUAAACGAUGUCUACUCGGAAUUUGGUGACUU
Molecule: ribosomal RNA, 195 nt
Filed under: uncultured bacterium
Lineage: Bacteria
Description: partial 16S ribosomal RNA
Rfam family: Bacterial small subunit ribosomal RNA
Source: RNAcentral